RNA transcript from Musa acuminata AAA Group (dessert banana), 1867 nucleotides. RefSeq lists it as uncharacterized. The record is from RefSeq and is a predicted model, not a curated record. The transcript is spliced from 3 exons. Lineage: Eukaryota; Viridiplantae; Streptophyta; Magnoliopsida; Zingiberales; Musaceae.
CCCUGUCACCGACAAGUCUCAGUCUCUCCACCACCACCACCACCACCACCACCACCAUCACCACCACCCGCAGGAAGAGGAAGGGAGAUGACGUGCGUCUUCGUCCUGCGUGUCGCCACAGGAUUUGGAACGAUGCGUGAAACCAAAUGAGGUAGCGAAGAGAAGGCAGAAGACGACAGCAGGAGAGACGGGGAGGCGCUCUGGAAUCGGCGGAUGCCGAUCCCCAAAACGAAUCUUUCUUAUACGUCAUCUCCUCUCUCUCUCUCUCACUUCAAUCGGGCGGAUCUUUCUGGCUUCCGCGAAGAGAAUCCGAUGCCUGCUCCGUCCAUGUUGGGAAUCUUCGCGCGUGGACUGAAUCGGCAAACAUGCAUUUUUCAUAGAUCCAGGCAUCUCGAUUCCCGGUUCUCGAGCUCGGUCGCUGGCUUUCUGUUGUAGAUUUGCGGUGCUUUGCUGGAAAUCAUUGCUUGGAGAUCGAUUUCUUUUCUUGUUUUGGAGGAUUUUGUGAUAAAUAUUGCAUCUUGGGAAUGGAGGGAAGGGAGUUGCGGCGAGGCGUGACGCUCUCGGAGCGGCUGUCUGUCGUCCACUCGUCCAAUCUCGGGGACCUGCUCAAGGUCCGGGAGGAAGACGACAUGCGCAUCUGCCGCCGCCGGGGCGGCGAUUCGGUGACUCUGGAAUCGAUUAUCGCGUGCGAGAAUAGGGAGGGAUCUGCCACCUCCGGCGGCAGCGGAAGGACACUGCUCGACAUCAUCCAUCAGGAGCACGAGGCGAGUGGGAUCAUGGCGGACGGGAACUCGAGCAACGAAGCCCACUGGAAGUCGUUAAGGGACCGCCUCCGCCUCCACAUCGACGGCGUAGCCUGGGCGUCGGCGUCCGCUGGCCACUUACACCCAAUCUCGGACGCCGAGCUCGUCGUCUCCGUUCGGAGUUCCGAGCUUGCCGUCCCAGAACCCACCGCCGCGUCAGCGACGGCCGCGGCAACUGAACUACCCUCAGUCAGCGGAGGAGGAAGCGACGAAAUAAAUGGCAGUGAAAACUCCGAUCCCGGCGGCACCGCCGAGUCAUCCGCACCAGCUGCUGUGCCGGCGGCGGCGGCGGAGGAGGAGGAGGAGCAGCCAGCGAGAGUGUCCCUCUUGGCGUUACUGGAGCAAACGGACAGGCAAUGGGGAGGCAGCGGGAGGGAAAGGUUAUCUUUAUUCGCAGCGGCGCCGCCGGAGAAAGAGGUGGCAGCGGACGAGAGGGAGGGCGGCGGAGGGGUGAUGCUGUACAUGUGCUGCGUGUGCAUGGUGCGGCACAAAGGGGCAGCGUUCAUCCCCUGCGGUCACACCUUCUGCCGCCUCUGCUCGCGUGAGCUGUGGGUCAGCCGCGGCAGCUGCCCCCUCUGCAAUGCCUACAUCGUUGAGAUCCUCGACAUCUUCUAAUGCCUCCUCCCGUUCUCCAACUCCGGCGGCCGCCGCCGCUACCACCAUAUCUCUGAUCAUCAACAACAAUUUCGAAUGGUACUUGAUGAAUGCUGAUGGCCAUCUAUUUAAUGAGCACCAUGAAAGUGCUGUGGACUGGAGAAAAGAAAGCUGAAAUGGUUACAGUGGACAGCUACUGCAGCAGAUGCUUUGGCAAUGCAUUGAAGCUUCAACAGCUCCAACAAAAGUCUGGCCACUGCUGCUUCAUCAGAACCAGCACCAACCAUGGCUCAUAGUUCUUACUUUUCUUUUUGGAAAAAGAAGCAUGGCUAAUGAAUCUCAUUAAAUUGUCCUCUCUGUUAGCAUUGAAGUUUGGAUAGACUGAAACCACAUAAAAGUCUGUCAAGAUUCUGUGAAAUCAAUGUGUAUAAAGCUUUGCAUGCUCUACUGCCAUGUUAAUUUCUCAUCAA